UAAAGGAGAUGAACAAAAAUUGUAUGGACGUGUGCCCCAGAAUGUACAGAGAUGAUAUCUGUGCCAUUUAAUAAAUGUACAGAGAUGAUAUCUGUGCCAUUUAAUAGUAAAAAUCUUCUAUUUUAAGAAGAAAAAAGUCGCAUGUUAUUUUGCAGUCGUGGCUUAAA
This is a long non-coding RNA of Maniola jurtina (meadow brown), 167 nucleotides long. RefSeq lists it as uncharacterized. The transcript has 2 exons. The record is from RefSeq and is a predicted model, not a curated record. Lineage: Eukaryota; Metazoa; Arthropoda; Insecta; Lepidoptera; Nymphalidae.